UUUAACUGAAAUCCUAAAGUCAUUAAUCCAAACAGUUAUUUUUAAUAAGUUUUGUCUUUUCUGUAGGAAGAAGAGAAACUUCAACACACUCGAGGAAAACAGACACAACACCUUCAUUAGAACCACCUCAGAGUAAAACAACAAACUCUUCACCUGCAUCAUCCUCAACAGCACUGGAACAAGAUAAACAGCAAACACACAGCAGCCUCCCUCUAGUUUUCGGCAUUCUGGCAGUUUUCCUGUUGGUGAUACCUGGAGUAGUGGCAUUUAUUUGUUGGAGACGCAAAGGAGGAAGAUGUGGAGAGAACGUGAUCACUGAAGGACGUCCGGACUGUAAGAGAAAGCAGAAGGAUCAGACUGAACCUGAUGUUACUUACUCUACUGUAACCCACGUGAACACAGCCGGAGCAGCACGGGUCCAGAUCAACGCUGGACACAAAACUGAAUAUGCCAGCAUUCUAACAAACUAAUCCACAGUAAAUAUCUAGAAUAAUACUGAAUACAUACAGUAUAUUAAAUACACACCAUAGUAAGCACAGGAUUCAUAGUAUUGGCUUUGUUUAUUUUACUGUGGCUUUUUUUUUAUUAUUAUUUGACCAUUAAUAGCAAAUUUAAUCAUAUUUGUGUGCUGAUGGAUAAUCCUGCAAAUUAUAUUUUUAAUGUUUGUGUCAUUUAUUAUAAUUUAUUUUGUGUCAUUUGUUUUUUUAAUUUACAUUUGUGGCAUUUGGCAGACGCCCUUAUCCAGAGCAACUUACAUUUAUCUCAUUUAUACAACUGAGCAGUUUGAGGGUUAAGGGCCUCGCCCAAGAGUCCAACAAUGGUAGCUUGGCAGUGCUGGGGCUUGAACUCCUGACCUUCUGAUCAGCAAUCCAGAGACUUUAACCACUGAGACACCACUUAUAUGUUCUAGAAAACUUUUGUCAUCACCCUGUUUUGCAUAAGACGACUGCCGUAGAAGUUCUUGUUUGUGACUGUCGUGGGAAAGUCUCUAUGGACUGAAUGUGUGUUUCUAAACUAGUUGUGGUGAAAUUGUUGUGAAAACAGUACCUGUAGCAUGUUAAAGGGUGCAUGAUAGUGUGCUUGUUGAGUGUGGAGUAUCACACAGUAUUCUCUGUGCAUUGCACAACUUUCAUUAACUUUGAGAAAGAGGAAGUAGCCAUUUUGCCAUCAGUCCCCACUGCCCUGGCCACAAUCUUAUGGUACCUCUGACAUGCUGAGUGUCUCACAGUGGCUCUGAAGUACCAUGAGAAUGCUGGUUAUGAACGCAGCUGUGGUUUUAUAAACUGCUAAUAUUUUUCAGAGGCGUGUGUAUGACCUUGCAACAAAGUCAUAAAGUGACAUGAUUGUAAUUUAGCAUCCUGUAUAAUCUUAUAAAGAGGGGCCUUAAAGGACUGUAGCACAUGUGAGGAGGGGAAUUGCUGUUACACCUGCUGUCAGUCCUUAAUAAUGUCUGCCACUUGUCAGAGUGGCAGUGAACCAGCCUCAUGCUGAUGAAUUGUGCAGCUUGUUCCACUGUGAGACCAAGUGCUGGAAAUAGACAUCGCGCAUAAACCACUGACAUGAACCGCUGACAUGAACCAAUCCUGUGGUUGCAUGGCAUAGAUUACAUCUGACACCCUUAGCAGUCAGUGUUUUAGCACAGAGCAAAUCUCACUUUGCCUGGAACAUAGCAUCCUCUUUUCCAUAAAGAGAAGAAGAGAAGAAAACAUAUGGACUUUGGCUUAUAUACAGCAUGGUGUAGCUAUAGGGUUAAUUAAUUUAUUUAUUAAUUCCUCUUCAGUAACUGUUUUAUCCUGGUCAGUGUUGUCAUGGAUUCGGACUCUAUCCCAGCAACACUGGGCACAAGGUGGGAGAGUUCAGAUGGGACGCCAGUCCAUCUCAGAGCACCAUUCACACACUUUCACAGCUGGGGGCAAUCUAACAUAGUAAACCUGCAUGUUUUUGGACAGUGGGAGGAAACUGCACACACACACACACAAGGAGGACGUGCAAACCUCUGCACAGACAUUAACAUGAUUUCAUUUUCACCUUUUAAUGAUCCAUAAGGAUCUUGUUGACUGCACAGUCAUGUCUACACUUUUUUAUUUUGUGUUCAUGUCAUAUUCUAAGUCUUCCAGGCAUCUCACCAGGUCUAAACAUUUUUUUAAUGUUUUCUUUACAUUAAGUUUCUCGCUCUUCUUGGUUUUGCUUGUGCACACACUUCUUAAAUAAUAUAAUAUUCUCAUCAUUUGAAGAUAUAUUAAAGCUUUUACUUGAAAUAUUUGUAAAAUUCCUGUAGCUUGUUUGUAGCUUAUACCUUUUCAUACUAUUGGCAAUGAUAAAAAUAAAUAAAAAAUGACAGUGGAGCAUGAUAUUUGAGAGUUUUAUUGUAGCACAAUCACAUCCCUAAUAUUUUCACAUAAAUAAACACAUUUGAAGCACAGAAUUUUAUCAGAAUCAUAACGGAUUAAAAUUAUGAAACCAACAGCCUCGAAUUUCUGGCUGCAAUAAUUACUGCACACCACCAUUUGUCGCUGCGGUCUCAGUUUUCAAUGCUCCAAAACUUCAGCUCAAUCAGGAAGAAGUAUCAAGAAAUUUUUUUUUAUCAGUUCACCAUUUUGUGAAAUCUUAUUUAUAAA
Molecule: long non-coding RNA, 2618 nt
Organism: Ictalurus furcatus (blue catfish)
Lineage: Eukaryota; Metazoa; Chordata; Actinopteri; Siluriformes; Ictaluridae
Exons: 4
Source: RefSeq, a predicted model, not a curated record